AUGCAAGUCGAACGGAAAUCUUUUAGAGAAAUCUUUUAGAUUUUAGUGGCGAACGGGUGAGUAACACGUAAGCAACCUGCCUUUAAGACGAGAAUAACAAUUGGAAACAGUUGCUAAGGCUGGAUAGGAAAUAAAAAGGCAUCUUUUUAUUUUUAAAAGACCUUCUUCGGAGGGUAUGCUUAAAGAGGGGCUUGCGUCACAUUAGUUAGUUGGUAGGGUAAUGGCCUACCAAGACGAUGAUGUGUAGCUGGACUGAGAGGUUGAACAGCCACAUUGGGACUGAGACACGGCCCAAACUCCUACGGGAGGCAGCAGUAGGGAAUUUUCGGCAAUGGAGGAAACUCUGACCGAGCAACGCCGCGUGAACGACGAAGUACUUCGGUAUGUAAAGUUCUUUUAUUGAAGAAGAAACAAUAGUGGAAAAACUAUCUUGACGUUAUUCAAUGAAUAAGCCCCGGCUAACUAUGUGCCAGCAGCCGCGGUAAUACAUAGGGGGCGAGCGUUAUCCGGGAAUUAUUGGGCGUAAAGGGUGCGUAGGCGGUUUAAUAAGUCUCUAGUUUAAUUUCAACGCUUAACGUUGUCCUGCUAGAGAAACUGUUUGACUAGAGUGAGAUAGAGGUAAGCGGAAUUCCAUGUGUAGCGGUAAAAUGUGUAAAUAUAUGGAGGAACACCAGAGGCGUAGGCGGCUUACUGGGUCUUUACUGACGCUGAUGCACGAAAGCGUGGGGGAGCAAACAGGAUUAGAUACCCUGGUAGUCCACGCCGUAAACUAUGAGUACUAAGUGUCGGGGUUAAACUCGGUACUGAAGUUAACACAUUAAGUACUCCGCCUGAGUAGUACGUACGCAAGUAUGAAACUUAAAGGAAUUGACGGGAUCCCGCACAAGCGGUGGAUCAUGUUGUUUAAUUCGAAGAUACACGAAAAACCUUACCGGGUCUUGACAUACUCUGCAAAACUAUAGAAAUAUAGUGGAGGUUAUCAGGGAUACAGGUGGUGCAUGGUUGUCGUCAGCUCGUGUCGUGAGGUGUUAGGUUAAGUUCUAAAACGAGCGCAACCCCUGUCGUUAAUUGCCAGCACGUUAUGGUGGGGACUUUAGCGAGACUGCCAAUGAAAAAUUGGAGGAAGGUGGGGAUUACGUCAAAUCAUCAUGCCCCUUAUGAUCUGGGCUACAAACGUGAUACAAUGGCUAUUACAAAGAGUAGCUUAAACGCGAGUUUUUGGCAAAUCUCAAAAAAAUAGUCUUAGUUCGGAUUGAAGUCUGCAACUCGACUUCAUGAAGUUGGAAUCGCUAGUAAUCGCGAAUCAGCAUGUCGCGGUGAAUACGUUCUCGGGGUUUGUACACACCGCCCGUCAAACCACGAAAGUGGACAAUACCCGAAAGCGAUAGCCUAACUGCGCAAGCAGAGGGAAUCGUCUAAGGUAGGGUCGAUGAUUGGGGUUAAG
This 1444-nucleotide ribosomal RNA is filed under the name uncultured bacterium. RNAcentral's name for it is "bacterial SSU rRNA". It matches the Rfam family "Bacterial small subunit ribosomal RNA". The record is from RNAcentral.